RNAcentral lists this transfer RNA (72 nucleotides) under Stegodyphus mimosarum. It matches the Rfam family "tRNA". Rfam says of the family: Transfer RNA (tRNA) molecules are approximately 80 nucleotides in length. Their secondary structure includes four short double-helical elements and three loops (D, anti-codon, and T loops). Further hydrogen bonds mediate the characteristic L-shaped molecular structure. tRNAs have two regions of fundamental functional importance: the anti-codon, which is responsible for specific mRNA codon recognition, and the 3' end, to which the tRNAs corresponding amino acid is attached (by aminoacyl-tRNA synthetases). tRNAs cope with the degeneracy of the genetic code in two manners: having more than one tRNA (with a specific anti-codon) for a particular amino acid; and 'wobble' base-pairing, i.e. permitting non-standard base-pairing at the 3rd anti-codon position. Lineage: Eukaryota; Metazoa; Arthropoda; Arachnida; Araneae; Eresidae. The record is from Rfam by way of RNAcentral.
GCCCUCAUGGUGUAACGGUUGGCACACUCGGCUCCUAUUCGAGAGGUCCAGGUUCGAGUCCUGGCGAGAGCA